GGGGUGGGGCGGGCUUUCCCUGGGUGGGCGCAGCGGCUUCCUGGGUCCCCCUCACGCUCUGGGUCAGAGUUCCUUUACAGGCGGACCUGAGAGGCAACUCACCGACUCCUGCCCUGGACCCUCCUGCGCCACUGAACCCCCUGACCUGGGAGCCUCGGAACCUAGGGCUCAGGAGAUGAACCAGGACUUAUCCGAAGGUACCAAGUGAACUUCUAGGAAAAGUCCAAUUCUCAGAUGCUGGAUGUCUUCCAAAAAUGAAGCAAAUUAGUAACUUAGUAGCUGAGUCAACUAAUCCUGUUAGAUGGUCAACACUGGUUUUUUUAUUUUAAUAUUUUUAAGUGGCAACUCUAGUGUGUGAGAAAAUUAAUGUGACAGCUGAAUUUGUAGAAAGCUGCUUUGACUCUCUUGGGCCCCUUCAUAAGCCCUGGAACUAAAUAAAAGUCUAGUGAAUACAGGUUUGCCUUGAUGAUCUGGCAUGUUAAUAGAAGCCACGUAUUGGUCUCUGUGUUAUCUCAUUGGAUUUCCUGCCGACCAUGGAGAUUGACGGGUUUUAUUAGCCCUCACAGGAAAACUGAUUCUCAAAGUCAAAAAUCUCAAGCAUAGAAUACAA
This 610-nucleotide long non-coding RNA is filed under the name Homo sapiens (human). Its description in RNAcentral is "HSALNT0396745". Lineage: Eukaryota; Metazoa; Chordata; Mammalia; Primates; Hominidae. The record is from RNAcentral.